CAGCCGCCGCGGUAAUACGAAGGGGGCUAGCGUUGUUCGGAUUUACUGGGCGUAAAGGGCGCGUAGGCGGACUGAUAAGUCAGGGGUGAAAUCCCAAGGCUCAACCUUGGAACUGCCUUUGAUACUGUUUGUCUUGAGUUCGAGAGAGGUAAGUGGAACUGCGAGUGUAGAGGUGAAAUUCGUAGAUAUUCGCAAGAACACCAGUGGCGAAGGCGGCUUACUGGCUCGAUACUGACGCUGAGGCGCGAAAGCGUGGGGAGCAAACAGGAUUAGAUACCCCCGUAGUCCCUGUCUCUUAUAC
This 301-nucleotide ribosomal RNA is filed under the name uncultured bacterium. RNAcentral's name for it is "partial 16S ribosomal RNA". It matches the Rfam family "Bacterial small subunit ribosomal RNA", at positions 509 to 807 of the family's 1533-position model. The record is from RNAcentral.